This 200-nucleotide ribosomal RNA is filed under the name Rhizophagus irregularis. Lineage: Eukaryota; Fungi; Glomeromycota; Glomeromycetes; Glomerales; Glomeraceae. The record is from RNAcentral.
CAGUCGUACCGGCGGAUAAUCAGCCUUUCGGGUGCGAUUCUGUGGGGCGUGAGGAGUUAAACGCCUUCAUGCCUGCAUAUUCGUGCACUUUGGGUGUACUUGCCCGUGUGUAAGUUAACAUCAAUUUUGGGGUCAUAAAAUGGCUGGAGGAAUGUAGCUUUGAUCUCGUAUCGAAGUGUUAUAGACUCUGGUUAGAUGGU